AAGGAUUAGAAUUUCAAGAAAUACGAAUAAGAAACCGAGAUUUGAGAUUGUUUUGCCAUUUGGUUUACAAUCACGUAUAACUGCAUUUCAAAAAGGAAACAUUGGAAACUCUAGACUGUUAGGUAUAAGAGAAGAUUGCGUUUUGAACUCGCCUGUGCUUUUACAUAACUAACGAUAGGCGGUGAUGUGUUUUUACCGGACCGAAGAUAUAAAAGUUAGGAAAAGGGUUUCUAUUUUUUUUUUUUUUUUUUUUUUACAGUAGUUAUAUAAAACCCAAACAAUCCGUUAUCGAACAUUCCAUUAAAAAGUUAAACAAUUAAAGUUAAAUGGCUUAAUAGGAAAAUCAGGGUGUGAGUAAAGUGAUUUUGGACAAUUUUUUUCUUUUUUUAUGUGGGGUGGGGGGGGGGGGUAACAAUGCUUUAAUGCAAUAAAGCUUCGUGUGUACAUGUACAUCAAUAGAUUGUAUUAUGUGUUUUAAUAAAAGUUGUAAACGAUCAAGUUAUAAAUAGUUAUUUAUUUCUUCCUCAUAGUUUAGUUUCACGUAUAUAAUGAUUGAAUUAUAUAUAAUCGACUUCAAAACAAAAUUACAGUUAAUAUAUAAUUCAUC
This 607-nucleotide long non-coding RNA is filed under the name Mytilus galloprovincialis (Mediterranean mussel). The record is from RNAcentral. Lineage: Eukaryota; Metazoa; Mollusca; Bivalvia; Mytilida; Mytilidae.